GGGUUGUGAGGUUAAGCGACUAAGCGUACACGGUGGAUGCCCAGGCAGUCAGAGGCGAUGAAGGACGUGCUAAUCUGCGUAAAGCGACGGUAAGGUGAUAUGAACCGCUACAGCCGUCGAUGUCCGAAUGGGGAAACCCGGUGCACUCUGUGCAUCAUUGCAGCAUGAAUACAUAGUGCUGCAAGGCGAACCGGGGGAACUGAAACAUCUAAGUACCCCGAGGAAAAGAAAUCAACCGAGAUUCCCCCAGUAGCGGCGAGCGAACGGGGAGCAGCCCAGAGCCUGAAUCAGUUUGUGUGUUAGUGGAAGCGUCUGGAAAGUCGCAGGGUACAGGGUGAUACUCCCGUACACAAAAGCACACAUGCUGUGAGCUCGAUGAGUAAGGCGGGACACGUGGUAUCCUGUCUGAAUAUGGGGGGACCAUCCUCCAAGGCUAAAUACUCCUGACUGACCGAUAGUGAACCAGUACCGUGAGGGAAAGGCGAAAAGAACCCCGGCGAGGGGAGUGAAACAGAACCUGAAACCGUGUACGUACAAGCAGUGGGAGCCUUGAUUUAUCAGGGUGACUGCGUACCUUUUGUAUAAUGGGUCAGCGACUUA
RNAcentral lists this ribosomal RNA (600 nucleotides) under Xanthomonas campestris. Its description in RNAcentral is "bacterial LSU rRNA". It matches the Rfam family "Bacterial large subunit ribosomal RNA", at positions 1 to 630 of the family's 2925-position model. RNAcentral also lists the same sequence under 1 other name. The record is from RNAcentral. Lineage: Bacteria; Pseudomonadati; Pseudomonadota; Gammaproteobacteria; Lysobacterales; Lysobacteraceae.